CGCCGUCUUUUUCUUUUGCUCUUAAAUUGUAAAAGAUUAUCUAAAUUUGUUGCAUAAAAGGUCACGAAUCUUUAUUAGCACCAUCAUUCAUUUCUCUUAAGAUUGUGAGAAGUACUGCUUCAUCAUAACAACAAUGGUAUAAGUCAUCGAAGGAUCAAUAAAGCUGUGAGAAAUAGAGUUAAUUAUGAAAUAUAGUUUAAGAUACAUAAAU
Molecule: long non-coding RNA, 211 nt
Filed under: Elaeis guineensis (African oil palm)
Lineage: Eukaryota; Viridiplantae; Streptophyta; Magnoliopsida; Arecales; Arecaceae
Description: long non-coding RNA (EGUI_LNC043420)
Source: RNAcentral